RNAcentral lists this ribosomal RNA (800 nucleotides) under uncultured Glomeromycotina. RNAcentral's name for it is "SSU rRNA". It matches the Rfam family "Eukaryotic small subunit ribosomal RNA", at positions 311 to 1114 of the family's 1831-position model. Lineage: Eukaryota; Fungi; Glomeromycota. The record is from RNAcentral.
AUUAUCAACUUUCGAUGGUAGGAUAGAGGCCUACCAUGGUGGUAACGGGUAACGGGGUGUUAGGGCACGACACUGAGAGGGAGCCUGGGAAACGGCUACCACAUCCAAGGAUGGCAGCAGGCGCGCAAAUUACCCAAUCCCGACACGGGGAGGUAGUGACAAUAAAUAACAAUACGGGGUUCUUUAGGAUCUCGUAAUUGGAAUGAGUACAAUUUAAAUCUCUUAACGAGGAACAAUUGGAGGGCAAGUCUGGUGCCAGCAGCCGCGGUAAUUCCAGCUCCAAUAGCGUAUAUUAAAGUUGUUGCAGUUAAAAAGCUCGUAGUUGAAUUUCGAGACCGGCUUACUGGUCGUGCUAUUGUGCGUACUGGUAUAAUCGGUUUCUCCUUUCUGACGAACUAUAAUGCCAUUAAUUUGGUGUUUUAGGGAAUCAGGACUGUUACUUUGAAAAAAUUAGAGUGUUUAAAGCAGGCUCACGCUUGAAUACAUUAGCAUGGAAUAACGGAAUAGGACGUUUGAUUCUAUUUUGUUGGUUUCUAGGAUCGACGUAAUGAUUAAUAGGGACAGUUGGGGGCAUUAGUAUUCAAUUGUCAGAGGUGAAAUUCUUGGAUUUAUUGAAGACUAACUACUGCGAAAGCAUUUGCCAAGGAUGUUUUCAUUAAUCAAGAACGAAAGUUAGGGGAUCGAAGACGAUCAGAUACCGUCGUAGUCUUAACCAUAAACUAUGCCGACUAGGGAUCGGAUGAUGUUAAUUUUUUAAUGACUCAUUCGGCGCCUUACGGGAAACCAAAGUGUUUGGGUUC